This is a non-coding RNA of Camellia sinensis, 831 nucleotides long. Lineage: Eukaryota; Viridiplantae; Streptophyta; Magnoliopsida; Ericales; Theaceae. The record is from RefSeq and is a predicted model, not a curated record.
CAUCCACCUAAUUGGUGACCAAGAAGAAUCCAAGUAAUUCGAUGAAGAAGGAACAGUGGAUAACCAUGGGGGCUACAAUAGAUAUUGUGGUUGUUCUUGUUCCUAUAUUAGUACUCUGCUAUAUAUCUAUGGAGAACACGCUGCUUUAGAGGAAAUAAUGCAUUAAGUGCAAAUGAGAGGACCCAAAGUACACAAUCUGUAAUGUGUCAAUUGAAAACAGAAUCAGCAAUUAUUGACAAAAUCAACAAUGGAAAAGAGGAUUAUGUGUUACCUUUGUUCACUCUUUCUAGUAUACAAAUUGCUACAAGUUACUUCUCGGUUGCAAAUAAGAUUGGGGAAGGUGGUUUUGGACAUGUUUAUAAGGGUCGGUUACUUAAUAGGCAGAAGAUUGCUGUGAAAAGACUUUCUAGAAGUUCUGAACAAGGGUCAAAGGAGUUCAAGAAUGAGGUUAUAUUGAUUUCAAGGCUUCAACAUCGCAAUCUUGUUAGAAUUUUGGGUUGUUGUGCUCAAGGAGAAGAGAGGAUAUUAAUAUAUGAGUGCUUGCCAAACAAAAGCCUAUAUUCAUUUCUUUUUGGUGUGCUACUUCACUAACUUCAACCAAUCUAUAUUUUGUUCUUGUGAUUCUGUUUCUUUGUUCUUAGUGUCAUCAGGUGUAUCAAUAAUGUGUUUAAUGCAAAAUUUGGGACAGAUGAAAUCAAACGAGCUUUACUUGAUUGGAAAAUACGUGUCCACAUCAUUGAAGGAAUUGCUCAAGGACUUCAAUACCUCCACAAGUACUCUAGAGAAAGAAUCAUUCACAGAGAUUUGACAGCUAGCAACAUUUUAUUGGAU